CCAGAGUUUUCAUUCAAGCUGCAGUGGAAAAGAUACGCCGGCAAUAAAAGGCAUUUAUUCGUUGGUUUCUGGAGGCCUGUUUGUUAUUAACAUGUAAAUUAAAUCAUCACAGAUGUUCCAUUUUUAAUCUGGGGAUGUGAAGUGCAGGGCUAACCGCGGCCCAAACAGCCUGAUUUUAUUACACACACAUUCAUUAGGAACCAGCGGUAUUAUUGGAUAUCAUUUUUCUUUGAUGCAUUUUUUAAACCAAUUAUCGGUAUAAUUUGUUCAUUUCCCUCCCUAUUUGUUUUUCUUGUGCCAUUUGUGUCAGGAUUCUCCAAUCAAGGGCGAUGGCUGCUGCUCCUCGUGGCCUCCCUGUGCUGCUUUUUGCUGGGCACACGGAGCUGCUCCGACCAGAGGAGAGCAGAGGAGGGAAGGAAGAGCUUUGCCAUGCACCGGCAGCAGCAGGCAUGGGUGUGCAGCACUGCAGAAACCUCAUCCCAAGCAGCACUCCGCUGGCAUCGUUAGGAGCAGGGCACUGCCAUCAGCACUGCUGCCUCCAGCUGCUGAGCUCUGCUCCUCAGGAAAACCAGGUGGAGGAAAGAAAUUGCAGCCCCAAAGGGGAGGAGGAUGUUCAGCAGCUCUCCCUGCAGCUCUCUGUGCAUGCUCUCCGUGCAGGCUCUCUGUGCAUGCUGUCCAUGCAGUCUGCCCAUGCAGCACACUCUCCUGCCUCCCCUCCAGGCCACUGUGGUUCACAGCAGCAGAGGAGCCUUGGUAGCCUUGGGAGAAAUUCUUGACAUGCAAACAGUUUCAGACUGCACACAGCCCAACAUUGCUGCAGUGAAUCUGGUCCAGGGGUACUUGUGGUGCAAAAGCCUUAAUGAGAAAAUACUCUUUGCCUCCCCCAUUGCCUGUGGGACAGCUGGCAUGGUGCAGGGCUGGGAAGGAGCAUGGCUGCAAGGAGGCUCCUCCUUUGGGCGGGAGAGUCUUUCUUCCAUUGGGAAACCAUAAAGAAAAGCAUUGCACAAUCUCAGCCUAAUUAGCAACUGCAAUUUUUCUUUUAUUUUUUUUUUUUUUUUGUUUGGUUUGUUCUGAGUUCUGCAAACAAAACUCCCAUCCGAUCUGUGCACGGAGGAAGCACUGCUUCACUCGGAGAGAUCUGCCACAGAGGCACCAAAAACCUCUCUGGAGGAGAGGUAGGAAAACAAUUUGGUCAGCCCCAAAAUGUGUUCGGUGCUGUGGGAGCUGCCCUGUGUGUGCAGACCUCACACCUCAGCACAGACUCGACAGAUCUCUGCUGGGUGCUACAAAAAGCAUUUCCUGGUGGCAACAAAGGAAACCUUGGUGGUUAGACUGAGACAGAAAUGAUGGAUGUGCCAAACAACUGCUCCUUGACCAACGCAACUCACAGACAAAUCAAGACAAUUUAAAUGCAGUUAAAGCCAUUAAUGACAACAGCUGCAAAAGCCAAUGGGAGAAGGGCUGAGGAAACGAGCAGUCAUUUGUACACAAGUGUGAGGUGCUUUGAGAGAGGGUCUAUUAAAAAGUUGCGCAAAGCACAAGGCCCAGAGCAUGCAGCUAAGAAGCCAUGAGGAAUAAUGCUCAGAAGCCAUUGGCUGAAAAUGGACUCUUAACAGCAACAAAAAAUCAGAUAUGAUCCAACGUGUCUGCCGUAGCUGUUUCAGCUUGGUGGAAGGCUGAAGAGGGGGAUUCAAGCCAUGUGCUGGAAGAUGCAGCAGGAGCCAAAGCCAUGAUGGUCUGGAUGGUGUAAUGUUGGAGAGUUGUCUUAAUCUGAGCGAAAACAAGCUUUGCGGGACUGCGAAGUACAUAAAUAUUUAAUUUUAACCUGGAAUAAUUUUCUAAAGUGAAAAGACAGCUUUUCUGCCCAAAGAAACCAACAUUUCAUCCUGGCACGAUGCUCCUGCGAACACAGGCAUUUUGCUGAAAAACAGGUAAAUUGCUGCUGGGAUGGAAUUCACAGGGAUCCUUGCAAAAACAACAGAAAGCAGACAAAACCAAAACAACGACCCAGAAGCUGAAGAAAACG
Long non-coding RNA from Gallus gallus (chicken), 2026 nucleotides. Lineage: Eukaryota; Metazoa; Chordata; Aves; Galliformes; Phasianidae. The record is from Ensembl.